UACGUAGGGAGCGAGCGUUAUCCGGAAUUAUUGGGUGUAAAGGGUGCGUAGACGGGAAUGCAAGUUAGUAGUGAAAUCCCUCGGCUCAACUGAGGAACUGCAACUAAAACUACAUUUCUUGAGUGCAGGAGAGGUAAGUGGAAUUCCUAGUGUAGCGGUGAAAUGCGUAGAUAUUAGGAGGAACACCAGUGGCGAAGGCGACUUACUGGACUGUAACUGACGUUGAGGCACGAAAGUGUGGGGAGCAAAC
RNAcentral lists this ribosomal RNA (250 nucleotides) under uncultured prokaryote. RNAcentral's name for it is "partial 16S ribosomal RNA". It matches the Rfam family "Bacterial small subunit ribosomal RNA", at positions 524 to 773 of the family's 1533-position model. The record is from RNAcentral.